Molecule: long non-coding RNA, 2724 nt
Organism: Lotus japonicus
Lineage: Eukaryota; Viridiplantae; Streptophyta; Magnoliopsida; Fabales; Fabaceae
Exons: 2
Source: RefSeq, a predicted model, not a curated record
UUUAUCAUUUCAUAGAGUUCCUCAUAAUUUUUGAUAUAAUAAUAUAUCACUCUUAUAUUUUUCUCUUAAUUCUAUGAGCUAAAUCAUUCAGUGUCCAAAUUAAUUUGUACCGAUUAGUAAAUAUCUUCUCAUUUAUCCUUGGAUAUCCCUCCUCCACGUCCCACAUGUCAAGGUACCACCAAUCAGAUUUCCAACCUCUCAUUCUCGUCCACUCUCUUUGACUUUUCCUUCUUUCUAUUCAUAAUAUCUUUCUUUCUUCUUCUGCAACAAACUUCUCUUUUCUUCUUCUUCCUCUUUUCUUUUAUUCCUUGCAGCACUUCUUCCUUCUUUCAUUUCUUUUGCUGAAGCACCCACACCACCAUGGUACCUCUCACUCACGUCCCCUUCUCCCUCUCCACGAGAUGCUACUGCUGGCCACCAUCACCAUGUCUUCUUCCUCUCAACACCAUCGUCCCUCCUCCUCACCGUGGCUGUAUGUCCAGCCAAGAGCCACCACCACCUUGACUUUUCUUCUCCUUGGACAACCAACCCAUGAGCCACCACCAUAUACAAAAGCUCCGACCAUGGCCACUCCAAACAGCCAUGAACACGCGAGCACCACAGCCACCGCUGGUCACCACCGCCACGCCUCCUUUCAUGAGCGAACCACCAUGUCUUCUCCAAUCUUCAAGGCUGAAGCCAUUUUUCCUCAAAGCUUUCCUUUUUCGUGCUUUUCUCCUCUCACACAAAGAACAAACAAGGUAGCUUAUGUCAAGGGCUUCAAACCUAUGCUUUUAGUUUUCAAUUUGGUUAAGUUUUGAAAAUGUUGUGCUAAAAAGUUGUUUGGACCUCUUUCUACUCUUUGCUAAGCUUAAUCUUUAUGUGGACAGUCUUGUGGUGAUGCAAAGUUUUUGAGGAAAAGAUGAGAAAAGCUUGUUAUGUGACUGUUAAAAAUUAAGUUUUGAGUUAGUGAUUCUAGUAUGUUAUUUCUAGUGGUAAUAGCUUUCUAUUAAUGUAAAUGUUUUAUGAAAAAGUUGAAAUUUUACUCAUAAGUGAUUUUGGAAAAAAAUAGCUUUUCAUAGAAAGGGUUGGAAAAGAUUGUUCUUGGAAUUUUUCUAAGCUUAGGCAUGUAAUUUAUUUUGGGAAACAUCAAUUCUUGAAAAUUUCUUAAAUUGUAUGAAAAGAAUUUUGGGGCCUAAAACACAACAUGCUUAGAAGUUUUGGGUUAAACUUGAGUUUUAAAAGUCUUGAGGUUUGUUUGAUAAAUUUAUUAAAGAUUGAGGGUUGAAAAAGAACUUACUUUUAUGUGAGGACCUUUUCGUGAUUAUGUGCUUGUCAAGGGACUAGAGUUGAAUUACUUAAAAGUUGAGGAGUUGUUUUCUAAAUGGGCAUUUAAAGGGGCUUUUCUUUAAAAAACAAAUAUUUUAUCUUUGGACUUUAGUCCUUGAAACAUAAAGUUUGUGCAUUUAGCCUAAGUGAGCGAGAAAGAUUGGCUAAGUUUGUUAUGGAACUUUAGAUGUGACUUUAGAGGCUAAGGUUUAGUAUGUGAACUUGUGAAGGGUACGAAGGACGAAAGCGCCUUGCGACGAAGCUAAGGAAUAGAAGGAAGCGAGCCGACGCGAAAAACAAAGAUGAGAUAGGAUUGGAGUUGCAGUUUAGGAAGAAAAUUGGCUAAGAUGAUUAUGAUUAUUAUGCUGAAUUUGGAAAAUGUUUUCUGAGAGGCUUCGGCCGUUUACUGGUUUCUGUCGUUACUGCUUCCUAGUGGAUGGAACAUGUGGUUACUUUGGAUUGGUCCUUGGGUGGGCUUUGUUAUUGUCUGACUUGGCAUAUAGGGCUUGAGUCAAGUGGCGAUGAGGAGGUGUGUCCUAUCAUUGUCCCAUCUUGCGAGGUGCUAAGUGGCGAUCAGGAGGUGUGUCCUAUGAUUGUCCCGUCUUGUGUGACGAUAAGUGGCGAUGAGGAGGUGUGUCCUAUCAUUGUCCCGUCUUGAGAGACGAUAUUGAUCGAUCCAUUUUGUUAGCGGCAUAUAGUUGCAUUAUAGGGAACUAACACCUGACCCUAUGUUGUUGGAUUUUCGUAUUGGGUUAUUGAUAUAUGAUUUGAUGUUACAUUGUUGAGGUUAUUAUUAUCUGAGUUCGAUAUAUGUUUAAGUUGUUGAUAUAUGAGUUGUGUUAUGUUGCUAGUUAUUUACCAUGCCAGGUAAUUAAAUUCGAACAGCAUGAUUUUCUCUUUUAUACAUGGUAAUUGCAUGGAGUUAACCCUUUCUAUUUGCUACUUGUUGUUUGGGCGCUUAACGCUAUUAGGCGAUGGAGAAUCUUCGAUGAAGGUUGACCUUCGUACGAGUUCGAGAUGAGGACUUGAAGAAUUAUGGAAGACUCAAAGAAUAGAGUCGGGUCUAGGGAUAGAGCCUUGGGUUAGAGAGCUUACCGUUAUUGGUUUAAGGUUGAGAUAAUGAUUUUAUGAAUUUAUAUUUGAGGUUUCGGGUAGGUUCCGAUGCAUUGCUUUCCUGCGGUUCCCCGAUGUGGAGAUCGUAGGGAGUAUUUCGGAUUUAUGGUGUCAUUGCAUAAUAGGUUCUUUGUUGAGUUGUUUCUAUUGGUUAGGUUUUGUAGGUUGGGUGAUUUCGGGUUUACUUUCGGGUACUCGCCUUGUUCAAGGCUUGAUGUAAAUCCCAUUGUAGUUGGGAGUAUGCAUGACAUGUUUUGGAAAUACAUUUGAAAAGAAAAAAAUAAUACUCGUGUUUAUGUAUCA